UGCAAUGUGUUCAAGGCAGAUAGUAGAUUAUAUGGUUAAGCAUCUCACUUAUAUUGGUAAUUUUUAUUUGUUUUAUUUAAAUUAAAAUGGUUUAUGUAUUCUGCUCUAUAGGUGAAUUUGCUCCAAUCAUUCUGCAACCCUCGAGGAGGUGACAUUUCCAUCAAAUGAUUUUACAGCUCGUUUGGUGUCAACAAUGGGUGGCAGUAAACUGCAUUGCUACUAAGUGCGGAGUAAGGACUAAAGCAUUUGUCUUAUUAUACACACAUUACAUAUAUCAAAAUGACCAUGAAGGAUAUAGUUGUUUCCUCAGCUUCUGUCUGCCAAGGACGUGGUGGAUCCAAAGAAGUUUCUGGUGCAGAGUUAGCUUUGGAAGGAACUUCUUCUGCUCAUUGUUUACAUGCUGGUGGUACUCUUGGUGUUUUGCCAACUGGAAAGAAGAUAGUUAGCAUGGGCAUUAUUCAUUCAUCAAUGCCAAAACACAAAAGGCUUAGACAACAAAAAAGAAUGCCCGUUUUUCAGUGGUCUAUUGAAGAAAAAUCAAAGGGGGCAAAAGAUAAUACUCCCUCCAUUCCGAUUUACUCGUCGUGGUUUUAGUUUAAAUUUGAACUAAAACCACGACGAGUAAAUCGGAACAGACGGAGUAGUAUUUCUAAAGGUAUUUUUCUGGAGAUCCGACAUUAUCCAUUUCUUAUAUAUUUUUCCUGAAAAUAAGUAAAUAUAUUAAUUAGAAGUAUCAGGUAUAGAACUAUUCUAAAGUGAUUUUUAGUAUCACUAGCACCACCAACAAUUGGCAUGUGGGCUUGUUUUCCUUUGUAAGACGAUGAUGACAAAGUUAUCCCCGGGUCUGAGUGCCUCAAGUGUGCAUACAAUGGCUUACAUAUUAACUGAAUAUUGGGUUUGAUCUUCAGAGAAUUCUCAAUGCGUAGAGCAAUCCUCUCCAUAUUAACACAUAAAGCCCCAUUCCCUCCCAACACUGGCCGGUGGCGGAGCUUGGCAACGGUGGUGAUGUGGAGGCGAUGACCAUCAUGGAAGAGGGAAAUAUGCUGCUAGAUACUGAUGUUGAUUGCAACGACUCCAUUACAUUGUAACGAGGGGAUACCGCAAUGGACAAGGCAGAAAUCUUGUUCAGAGGGACAAUGCCCACGGGUGACUGCGGUGUGAGCUGGUGUUGUCCCGUCGUGGCAAUAGGGACGCAGAGGCAAGGUGGAGGCCAGAGAUGGCAUGGAGAAAAAUUAUGACGAGCAAAGCAGUGGCAUUGUACAGUAACACGGUCAUGUGUGUGGCCUCUGCGCAGCAGCGACAGAUACAGGCAGUGGCGGGUGGCGGAAUAGCAAGGCAUCCGGUCAGAUGACAUGGGUCGAUGGGGAGUUGGUGGCUCUCGACUACAACAAAGAUCAUCGAGGCAAUCUAUAUUGAUAUCAACGAGAAUCCAGAAUAGGCUCUUAAGGGAGCAAGGGUGUUUGGCGCCUGGAGGAGCGUCCGGGUUCAAGGAUCUGGCCCCCGCCAUCGAGACGUAUGGGGUCGUCGCCGAGUACAUCUGGUUAUGAGAGAGAUGGAUAUGAAUUAUGUUGACGUUCAAAAAGAAACCAUCGACAAGGGACAAUAUUGAUGAAAGGGGCAAAAAAUUAACAAAAUUUUAAGUAUAUAUGUGCAAUCAAAAAAAAUUAUUUAAAAGGCCUGUAGCAACUCAUGCAAGGUGCUCUCACGGGUGUAGGUUUGUCCAUCGCCAUUUGACUUUAUAACCGUGCAAGACAGUUGACAGCAGAUCGCUUAUGGUAGGACCUAGCUAUUACCAAUGAUUUAUACUAUCAAAUGCAGUGUCAGUGAAUGGUGUUCCUUUAUCAUGGUUGAAGGUUGCAUGUCUUCUGCUAGGUUCAUUGAUACUUCUCGGUAUGUACUUGAAUGUUCCUUACCUAAUUUUUUAGUGGCUACUA
Triticum dicoccoides is the source of this 1934-nucleotide long non-coding RNA. RefSeq lists it as uncharacterized. The transcript is spliced from 6 exons. Lineage: Eukaryota; Viridiplantae; Streptophyta; Magnoliopsida; Poales; Poaceae. The record is from RefSeq and is a predicted model, not a curated record.